UUUCCGUAGGUGAACCUGCGGAAGGAUCAUUAUCAAUUUUACAGUCCUAGGAUAGGGGUAAAAACCCUAUCCUAUGCUGUUCAACCCUUUGUCUUUUGCGUACUGUAUGUUUCCUCGGCGGGUUCGCCCGCCGAUAGGACACUUCAAAACCUUUUGUAAUUGCAAUCAGCGUCAGAAAAACUAUAAUAGUUACAACUUUCAACAACGGAUCUCUUGGUUCUGGCAUCGAUGAAGAACGCAGC
This 242-nucleotide unclassified non-coding RNA is filed under the name uncultured fungus. RNAcentral's name for it is "sequence contains ITS1, 5.8S rRNA gene". The stretch from base 194 to 242 matches the Rfam family "5.8S ribosomal RNA", at positions 1 to 49 of the family's 154-position model. Lineage: Eukaryota; Fungi. The record is from RNAcentral.